GCUUUUGGUUCAGUGGUAAAAUGCUCACCUGCCACGCGGGCGCCCCGAGUUCGAUUCCGGCCCGAUGCA
Non-coding RNA from Cordylochernes scorpioides, 69 nucleotides. The record is from the annotation of a GenBank genome assembly. Lineage: Eukaryota; Metazoa; Arthropoda; Arachnida; Pseudoscorpiones; Chernetidae.